Molecule: ribosomal RNA, 822 nt
Filed under: Klebsiella pneumoniae
Lineage: Bacteria; Pseudomonadati; Pseudomonadota; Gammaproteobacteria; Enterobacterales; Enterobacteriaceae
Also listed under: 2 other names
Description: partial 23S ribosomal RNA
Rfam family: Bacterial large subunit ribosomal RNA
Source: RNAcentral
GGUUAAGCGACUAAGCGUACACGGUGGAUGCCCUGGCAGUCAGAGGCGAUGAAGGACGUGCUAAUCUGCGAAAAGCGUCGGUAAGGUGAUAUGAACCGUUAUAACCGGCGAUGUCCGAAUGGGGAAACCCAGUGCAAUUCGUUGCACUAUCGUUAACUGAAUACAUAGGUUAACGAGGCGAACCGGGGGAACUGAAACAUCUAAGUACCCCGAGGAAAAGAAAUCAACCGAGAUUCCCCCAGUAGCGGCGAGCGAACGGGGAGCAGCCCAGAGUCUGAAUCAGCUUGUGUGUUAGUGGAACGGUCUGGAAAGUCCGACGGUACAGGGUGAUAGUCCCGUACACCAAAAUGCACAGGCUGUGAACUCGAAGAGUAGGGCGGGACACGUGGUAUCCUGUCUGAAUAUGGGGGGACCAUCCUCCAAGGCUAAAUACUCCUGACUGACCGAUAGUGAACCAGUACCGUGAGGGAAAGGCGAAAAGAACCCCGGCGAGGGGAGUGAAAAAGAACCUGAAACCGUGUACGUACAAGCAGUGGGAGCACCUUCGGGUGUGACUGCGUACCUUUUGUAUAAUGGGUCAGCGACUUAUAUUCUGUAGCAAGGUUAACCGUAUAGGGGAGCCGCAGGGAAACCGAGUCUUAACUGGGCGUUAAGUUGCAGGGUAUAGACCCGAAACCCGGUGAUCUAGCCAUGGGCAGGUUGAAGGUUGGGUAACACUAACUGGAGGACCGAACCGACUAAUGUUGAAAAAUUAGCGGAUGACUUGUGGCUGGGGGUGAAAGGCCAAUCAAACCGGGAGAUAGCUGGUUCUCCCCGAAAGCU